Molecule: long non-coding RNA, 183 nt
Filed under: Cricetulus griseus (Chinese hamster)
Lineage: Eukaryota; Metazoa; Chordata; Mammalia; Rodentia; Cricetidae
Description: lncRNA (ENSCGRG00000025874.1)
Source: RNAcentral
CUGAGAACAAAAAGAAAAGAAAAGGAAAAAGAAAAGCCCAGAAAACCCCUGAGAUCCAAAUAAAGUCAUGGCUGAGCAGUGUGCUGAAUUCACAAGACUCCAAGCGCAGCUUAAGAGCUUUCUGGACUGAAGGCGGCUUGGUGCUUUUCUAGCAGCUUCACAAACACCCAAACACCGUUUGCA